Long non-coding RNA from Rosa chinensis, 2107 nucleotides. RefSeq lists it as uncharacterized. NCBI's taxonomy places the organism in Eukaryota, Viridiplantae, Streptophyta, Magnoliopsida, Rosales, Rosaceae. The transcript has 3 exons. The record is from RefSeq and is a predicted model, not a curated record.
GCCGCUGAGUCCGCUCACUGCUCGGGUAUGAUUCGUUCUUGCAUGCGCUUGAUCGAUCCCUUCGAUACCCAUUAGACUGGAGGAAAAGGAUCAGCGCAAAACGGAACCACAGCAGGCGGACCAGGGGAAGACUUAACCAUUUGAUUUGUUUCAACAUAUUUGCGCAAGUUUGGGUCUUUGAUUUGAAUGCCAGAAGCCAUAUCUUAAUACCAUUCUCGGCCAGUAGAACGCCUUGGAGAGAUCAAUGGGAUUGCGAAUCUGCUACACCUGGGCUCCCAUUGUUGACACAUGCACUUGCUAUCACUUUAAAAGCAGUGUUUGUGUUUUUUUUUUCUUCUUUGCCUGGGAUUCCACUAUGACUCUCUGUGUAUAUCUGGUUAAAAAGUUGUGUAAUUUUAGGUUGUUGGAAUACUGUCUUUUGUACAUACCUCCACUGACUCAUUUAUAGUUAUAAAUGCCCACCCCUUACUUAGUUGUGAUGUUGGUUUUCAAUUUUCAGCUUUGAAAGUUUUCAAAUGCAAGAUAUCUGAUAUUAGAACUGAGCUUCGAUUAGCUCAGAGUGCUUUUCUGUUUGUUAUCUUUACAAUUCAGAAAUGUGGUUCAAAGAUGCAAAAAUUUUAGUUCCCAGCUGGUUGAAAUAGAUUCUAAAAGAACCUACCGAGUACUGUAAAUAAAUAGCUCAAGUGUGUAGGGAUUGUUGUCUUUGGUAGUGAUACCAAGGAGGUUAACCAACGCCUUAUUAUGUCUCAGUUUCCAAAUUGUUUUGUGUUACAAAUAUGAUUAUGACAUUAUGAAGUUUAUUAACUGGUCAGGUUUUACUAUUUAAAAUGAUAUUUUAAAUGCUAAUAAAAUGGAAGCAUUGGAGAAUUGAAUGCUGUUGAGACAAUUGUUUAAAACUCUUUUCUGUUCUCAGGUUGUCAUGUUGUUUUUCUUUUCUAAUUACAUUGAUUUUGCUUCCAAGUUUCAUUAAACUCGAUCUCUAAGUUUUGGUUUGUUGCUUUUUAGUUUCUUGGUAAGUAUUAUCAUUUGUUCCAAUUGCUUUUUGGUUAGUUGGGUGAAUUGUAGUCGAGCAGAACAUCGAAGAUUCAUAUCUUUGUUUGAUUCAAAUUAUUUGCUGAGAAAAUGGAUUUACGAUUUGACAAAAAAAAACAACCUGUUAGUUUUGUGGUCUGUGAUUAAUUGAGAGCCUUGAUUUCAAGAUCUAUUGGUUAACAGUACUGAUCUGCUCUUCUUGAUUGCUUUUUUAAGAAGAAUAUAUUCUGAUGUUUUCCAAUUUAAUUUGAGCUUGGCUUUUGAACUACAAUUAUGGCACCUAAACUGAAGAUGACAAAAAAAAGAAGGCUCUCAGAAGGUGAUCAUAGCUCAGCAGAUUUGUGUCGUGCUGCAAGUUAUAAUGAAAGUUUAUCAAGUGAGGGGAAUAUGCGAGAAAUAAAGAAUGAUCAGACUUUUGUUGCGUCUAUAGCAGAAAGUUCAUUUUACGACGACAGCACACAUGAUCAAAUCAUGGCAAGAACAGGUCAGUUUCCUCUGAAGUUUCAAGUGAUCUCAUAAUUCAAGUGAAGGGAAGCAGAUAUUUUCUUUACAAGUAUGUCACAGUCCACCUAUCAAAUACUUUGAGGCUGAGGCUCUGCUUUGAAUAUGUAGAAACUUAUAAUCCAACUGCAUGAUUUUCCGAGUGAAGUUGCGGCAUUCGGGCACGGCACAAAAUUUUGCCAUGGAAUCACAAUCACCCUCAGUGCCAUUGUAGCUGUUAGCAGUGGUGCGGGGUUCUUGGAUGAUUGAGGAAGUCGAGAAGGGAAACUUGAUAUAUAAUCUUGAGGUGUUCAACGACUCUUGCAUACUCCAUGGCUGGAGGGAAGCAAUUGCCACUCUUUAAAGCACAAAGUUGACGGCCUUUCAGAUCAAUACACAAAUGAGCUUCGAGGUUGUUGUACGAAAUGUGUUCAGAAAAUAUCUGUAGAAACUGAGAACCUGAUUUGAUUAUCGUUAGUUGUUAGUUCACAUCGUAGUUAUGUAUGCUAAUCAAACACUUAAAAACAUAAGAAAUUUAGUGAACAUAACGUAUAAAUUCUACCCCGCGCCAUCGCGCGGGUUCUCAUUCCUGGUG